ACCGGCAGCUAGCUCUCUGCAACUCUCACAUGGUCACCCACUGAAGCUAAGCAGGGCUGCGCCCGGUCAGUACCUGGAUGGGAGACCACAUGGGAAAGCUAGGUUGCUGCCGGAA
This 115-nucleotide ribosomal RNA is filed under the name Danio rerio (zebrafish). Lineage: Eukaryota; Metazoa; Chordata; Actinopteri; Cypriniformes; Danionidae. The record is from RNAcentral.